UUUUAUUUGAGAGUUUGAUCCUGGCUCAGGAUGAACGCUGGCGGCGUGCCUAACACAUGCAAGUUGAGCGAUUUACUUCGGUAAAGAGCGGCGGACGGGUGAGUAACGCGUGGGUAACCUACCCUGUACACACGGAUAACAUACCGAAAGGUAUGCUAAUACGGGAUAAUAUAUU
This 175-nucleotide ribosomal RNA is filed under the name Clostridioides difficile. RNAcentral describes it as "partial 16S ribosomal RNA". It matches the Rfam family "Bacterial small subunit ribosomal RNA", at positions 1 to 182 of the family's 1533-position model. The record is from RNAcentral. Lineage: Bacteria; Bacillati; Bacillota; Clostridia; Peptostreptococcales; Peptostreptococcaceae.